UGGGAGUUUAGCUCAGUGGUGCUGCUGCCUGCCUUGUAAAUGCAAGGAUCAGAGUUUGAUCCCUGGUACAGAAAAUAAAAACAAACAACCCCCCCCAAGAAAAAUUCUUUAUUGAUCAUUUUGCAUAGGCCAAAAACAAGGCUAAGUCAGUACUGGGAAAAAUGAAGUCCUCAGGUCAUAAUAUUAGAGAACUAUACAGCUAAAACAUUUAAAAAAUUUGAUAACAUACAAAAGAAGAGAAUGGGGGUGCUUAUAGGUCCAUUUCAUCUUUCCUUUCACAUCGCAUGGUCUACAGAGCUGUAUCCUAUUGAGACCUCAUAGGCCUGGCUUUUUUUUUUUUAAUCUCUAAAAGAUAGUUUCUUAUUUCCAGGCAUUAUUUACUGAUGAUGCGAAGUAUUAGAGCUUGUUUGUAUGUGAGGUCAUGUAUCUCCUCUUUUUUUCCCCUUUUGUGAAACCUGUUAUGAUAGACAUUUUCAUGACAUACAGAACACCUUGUAAGGUUGGGCAUAGAACCUCGUUCUGUCAUUGUUCCCUGGAUUCUAUAACCCGUGACCAGGAAUUAUGCACCCUGGAGACAUCUGUGCUAUAGACAUCUUUUGCUAUAGAGUUGUACUUCUUAGCUGGUAGCUACUAGCCACAUGUGGUUGCUUAGAUUUAAAUUUAAAUUUAAGUAUAUAAAGUAAAACACAUAGUUUCGCAGUUUCACUAGUCUGUGGGAGAAGUUUAAGCCUGGCUGGGCCAGGUGAGCUGCACUCCUCCUGAGCUAACUUGGAGACCUUGCUAAGGCUGAGCUAAUUUGCUUAAGUGCAUAGAUGCUAGGUCCAACAGGUACACCUCCACCCCUAGUCCGUGACUCCUUUGCCCCGCCCAAGAAAAAAAAAUCACUCCACCGUGUCUCCAAUAAGAUACUGCCAAAUAUUAAAUGCUCCUCCCAUGCUCCGCCCCCAUGUUGUCCCUAUAUAAGCCUGUGCCUUUCUUGAAUAAAGCGGAAGUGGUCCAUACACCUCCCCAGAAGCUGGCUGGUGUUUCUUUGCCUAACACUCCCAGUUGGAGCUACCGGAGAUUGUUCCCGAAGCAGGCUCGCGGGCGGGCUCGCAUUUACUGGCCCUGCUAUUUGCCAGUCAACUUCCCAAGAGAAUGCAAACUCUGGUGAGUACCAUUUUUUGUCCAUUUUGCUCAUUUCUGUGUCUUGGACACCUAGAAUGGUGCCUAACACGUUGUAGCCCAGUUCACAUUUCUGGAAUAAACAAAAAAGUUCUUUAACAUUAUACCAAAGAACCAAAUAAAGGUAGAUAUUUUAGACUGUCAAGGUGGCGAGAAAAAGUAUUGUGGAGAUGGAGAGACAAAUAACCUUCUGAAAGGAUCCACUGACUUUGUCUAUGCACAGGGCUGGG
Molecule: long non-coding RNA, 1394 nt
Filed under: Fukomys damarensis (Damara mole-rat)
Lineage: Eukaryota; Metazoa; Chordata; Mammalia; Rodentia; Bathyergidae
Description: lncRNA (ENSFDAG00000032170.1)
Source: RNAcentral